RNAcentral lists this small RNA (125 nucleotides) under Marmota monax (woodchuck). Lineage: Eukaryota; Metazoa; Chordata; Mammalia; Rodentia; Sciuridae. The record is from RNAcentral.
GCCUGGUGUGGUGGUGCACACCUGUAAUCCCAGCAGCUCGGGAGGCUGAGACAGGAGGAUUUCGAGUUUAAAGCCAGCCUCAGCAAAACUGAGGCACUAAUCAACUCAGUGAGACCCUGUCUCUA